UACGGGGGGGGCAAGCGUUGUUCGGAAUUACUGGGCGUAAAGGGCUCGUAGGCGGCCAACUAAGUCAGACGUGAAAUCCCCAGGCUCAACCUGGGAACUGCGUCUGAUACUGGAUGGCUUGAGUGCAGGAGAGGAACGCGGAAUUCCAGGUGUAGCGGUGAAAUGCGUAGAUAUCUGGAGGAACACCGGUGGCGAAGGCGGCGUUCUGGACUGCAACUGACACUGAGGAACGAAAGCCAGGGGAGCAAACGGG
Molecule: ribosomal RNA, 253 nt
Filed under: uncultured bacterium
Lineage: Bacteria
Description: partial 16S ribosomal RNA
Rfam family: Bacterial small subunit ribosomal RNA
Source: RNAcentral